This is a non-coding RNA of Callithrix jacchus (white-tufted-ear marmoset), 6786 nucleotides long. The record is from RefSeq and is a predicted model, not a curated record. NCBI's taxonomy places the organism in Eukaryota, Metazoa, Chordata, Mammalia, Primates, Cebidae.
UUUUUUUUUUUAGAUGGAGUCUUGCUCUGUCACCAGGCUGGAGUGCAGUGGCAGAAUCUUGGCUCACGGCAACCACUACCCCCUGGGUUCAAGCAAUUCUCCUGCCUCAGCCUCCUGAGUAGCUGCGACUACAGACAUACCUGCUUCCCCUUCACCCUUCUGCCAUGGUUGCAAGUUUCCUGAGGCCUCCUAGCCAUGCUUCCUGUACAGCCUGCAGAACUAUGGAGUCUUACUCUGUCACCCAGGCUGGAGUGCAGUGACAUGAUCCCAGCUCACUGAAACCUGCACCUCUCGGGUUCAAGUGAUUUUCCUGCCUCAGCCUCAGAAGUAGCUGGGAUUACAGGCAUCCACCAGCAUGCUGGGUUAACUUCUGUAUUUUUAGUAAAGAUGGGGUUUCACCAUGUUGACCAGGCUGUUCUUGAACUCCUGACCUCAAGUGGUCUGCCUGCCUCAGCUUCCGAAAGUGCUGGGAUUACAGGCAUGAGCCAUCCUGCCUGGCCAAUUUAUACUUCUUUAAGCCUUUUCUUCAUUGAUUAGAGGACUUAAGAGGCAAUAUAUACCAAAAUAAUGCCUGCUCAUGGAAGUCAUUGGUAUGUUGUAGCUAUGUUUAUUAUCUUCCACUACCAAUAACUGUAUUUGUUUCCUGUGGCUAUUUUAACAAGUGACUACAAACUGGGUGGCAUAAAACAAUAGAAAUUUAUUCUCUCACAGUUAUAGAGGCAAGAAAUCCAAAAUCAAGUUGUAAGUGUUGUUUCUUCAGGAGGCAUUGAUGGAAAUUUGUUCCAUGCCUCUCUCCUAGUUUGUAUAGCUGUUGGCAAUCCUUGGUUUUCCUUAACUUGUAGAUGCAUCCCUCUGAUCUCUGCCUUUAUCUUCAUAUCACCUUCCCCUAUGUUUUUUAUUUCUUUUUUAUUAUAAAAUGAAAACUUUCAUUUUAAAAGAUUUUUUUCAACUUUUAAGUUCAGGUGUACAUGUGCAACUUUGUUGUACAGGUAAGCUUGUGUCAUGGAGGUUUAUUGUAUAGAUUAUUUCACCACCCAGGUAUUAAGCCUAGUACCUAUUUGCUAUUUUUCCUGAUCCUCCCCGCUCCUUCUACCCUCUACCUUCAAGUCAGCCCUAGUAUCUGUAGUUACCCUCUUUGUAAUCAUGUGUUCAAAUCAUUUAGCUCCUUUAUUCCAAAUAAGGUCACAUUCUGAGGUUCCUGUGGACAGAGCUGUUGGCAGGGGUUAGAAAGAUGCUGUUCAACUCACUACAGCUUGUGUUAUGGGCUAAAUUGUGACCCACACUCCACAUUCAUAUGUUGAUGCCUUAACUUCCAGUACCUCAGAAUGUGACUGUAUUUGGAGACAGUGCCUUUAAAGAGGUAAUUAAGUUAAAAUGAGGCAGGGAGCUUGGGCCCUAAUCCAAUCUGACUGGUACCCUUAUAAACAGAGGAAUUCAGACACACAGACACCUGAGCUAUGUGCACACUGAGGAAAGACCAUGUGAGAGCUAUGAAAAGGCAGCCAUCUGCAAGCCAAGAAGAAAGGGCUCAGAAGAAACCAAGCUUCCCAGCACUUUGAUCUCAGACUUCCAGCCUCCAGAACUGUGAGAGAUUUUUGUUGCUUAAGCCACCCAGUCUGUAGUAUUUUGUUCUGGUAGCCCUAGCAAACGAAUACAACACAUACAAUUAAUGAUUGGUCCGCUUUCCUUGGUUUCGCUGGACAGCAGCUUAUACAUUGAAGCUGACUCCUCACAAUGUGGUAAUGAACCUUUGGUUGCAGUGACCUCACAAUGUCAAGGAAGCUCAGAUACUGUUUCUACUAAACGUACAAAAAUUAUCUGGGCGUGGCAGCACGCGCCUGUAAUCCCAGCUCCUCAGGAGGUUGAGGGAGGGGAAUUGCUUGAACCUGGGAGGCGGAGGUUGCAGUGAGCCGACAUCGCGCUAUUGCACUCCAGCCUGGUGACAGAAUGAGACUCUAUCUCAAAGCAAACAAACAAACAAAAAAAAGCACCUCUGUAAGACUGGGUUGGUAUUCAAAUAAUAUACAUAAGCAAUUAACAGUAAAUAUUAAUAAUGAUAUUGGCAAACUCUAAGACAUAAAGCAAGAACACUAGAGCUUACAAAGCAUAUGUAGUUCUCUCAAGCUUUUCUCUGACAAGUAUAAUUUUAGAUAUAUUUAUUGUUGAGAUAUCUAGCUGAGGUAUUUCUUAGAGCUGGAUACCUAGAGAUUUUACAGCAACACAUCAACUAGUGCACUAGUGGUGGAUCUCACAUUGUACUCUCUCAAAGACAGUUGGCAGCAGGUAUCAUUCCUUUCUUCUGUGUCUACUCUGACCUGCUCCAAGGUCAAGAUAAUGAAUAUGUGAUUGACUACUCACUUCCCUUCGAAAGUACGUGGAUUUCUCACAGUUAGUGUAAUCUACCUGUCCCUUGACUGUGUUAACAGCAAUAAGUAGGUUACAGAAAAAAGAAAAGGGGACAGGGACUAGUGAUACUCUAGUCUCUGUGGAUAGCGUGAGCAUUAGAACAGUGUUUGAAUAGCGUAAUGGUUCAAGUGUCUUGAAUAGAUUGUCUUGGUCCAGAUUAUCAACUCCUUAGGGGCUGAGUCUCACUUUUUCUGAUGUAUCUCAAGUGCUUAGCACAGUGCCAGGAGCACAGGAGUUGAUCAAUCAAUAAUCUUUAAUGGGUAAAUUUAUGAAUUAACAAACUGCAAAGUGCAUUGCCACUCUUCUUUGGUAAAAAUUUAUUAGUUGCUUAGUCAGUAGUGAUAAAUGGUACUGAAUACUGUCUGGCAAAAUUUAAAAAAAAUAAACAAACCAAAACCACACAGGCCAUGUUGUGUCAGGCUGAAGCAAAGCAUUAUGAAGAUGCAGAGAGCAGCAAGCACAUACACGCACCUGUGAAAUAUAGAAGUAACUGCAAUUACCAAAAAAAAAAAAAAAAAAAAAAGGGCAAAGCAUGAAGCAGUUCAAACUGAAUAUAUAAUAAGCAUGAUAUAUAUGCCGUAACAAAAAAGGAUGAUAGAACAUUUGAAAUCUUACUUAGGAAGUCUCUAGAGGAAGGGUAAAAUCAUGGCAUUUGAUCUGAAAAGUUCCUGAAGGAAGUAAGUUUUGAAUCAGAUUUUGAAGAAGCUGAGAAUUCUCAUUUGGUAGAAAGAAGUACAAACUUGAUAGAUUAGAAAGCCAGUGUAGGAAUUUUAAGAGUCUAAUGGAAUUAAGGGGAAAAAGUAGGUGGGAAAAAAUUUUAAUGAACUCAUGUAACAUAGAAACACUUAAACAGGAAAACCUAACUUAGUAUAUGCACAAAUAUUCUAAGAAUGUAUUAAACAUAAUACACUGGUUCAUUUCUGUAAAUAAUAUCCUUGGGCCCUAGCAGGAGGGAGCCUAGCUCAGAUAAUGGCUUCCUGACGUCAAAUUAUUUUGCUUGCCUACACAGCCUAGUUAAUAAUCUUUCAAAAUGUAACCACCUGUGAGUGAGAUGUUGAGGAAGUAAUAAAUAAACUAUUUUGAUGCACCUCAGAGAAAUAUAUUCAUAAUUUUACCAUACCUGAAUCAUGGGACGGUAAUUGUGAUACCUUAGAUAUGGAAUCUGUAAAAUUAUAGGUUUUGUCUUUGUAUAUUACCUAAAGUAGAUAAUCGGGUUGAUCAAUAAUGUUAAGAAUAAAACAAAAAACUUCUUCCUCAAUUAUCUGAAUUAUUAAGCUAAGAGUCAAUUUUAUAAUGAGUAUAUUUUCUGGAUCAGUGGUUCUCAACUUGUUUGAAGCACUAAAGACUAUCUUUUUUUUUUUUUUUUUUUGAGACACAGUUUCAUUCUGUCACCCAGGCUAGAGUGCAGAGGCACAAUCUCAGCUCACUGCAGCUUCUGCCUCCCAGGUUCAAGCGAUUCUCAUCCCCCGCCUCCCAAGUAGCUGGGAUUACAGGCAUGCAUCACCACACCUGGCUAAUUUUUGUAACUUAGUAGAGACAGGGUUUCACCAUGUUGGCUAGGCUGGUCUCAAACUCCUGACCUCAAGUGAUCCACCCACCUUGGCCUACCAAAGUUCUGGGAUUACAGGCAUGAGCCACUGUGCCCAGCCCAGCACUAAGCUCUGUUGACUGAAAAAAUAGCAUGUUUUGCACUUAUUUAUUUGAGUGUGUUAUUUUACUUAGUAAAUUUAAAAUUUAUUUACAAAGAUUUAUAAUCUCGAAUAUAGGACAAAGUGGCCACCUCUAUAGGAAUGGGAGCAAGUCUCAGAGAAAAAAGGUCAAGGCAAUGUGGAAAACAUCUAAAACAGUAUUUGCCACAAUGUUCCUGGUGUUAACCGUUGUAUAUGUGCUUAAUAGAAGUGGAAUUCUUCAAGGGUGUCUUCUGGUAUAAUACGGGUUUUCUAAGUGAAAGAAGUUAGGGACCACCGAGCUAGACAAUUGCUUGGAUCUGUGCUGACAGUUGUGACUUCCUAGGAUCACAGGAUUAAAGAGCAUCUUAGCAGAUUUGACAACUUUGGCUGUCUUAGUGAUUGAUGUUCAUCACGGUGGCCUGAACCGUGAUGAAAGUAUCUCCAUCAGUCAUUAAGGAAGGCUGUCAUGUCAUGCAUGUUGCCACAAUUUGAGGAUAUAUCUGAAUAGAAGAAGUAAUGAAACUGCAACAUGACCAAUCCCGUAAAUUUAGCCAUGUAUCAUAUAUUGCAAGACCCAUAGUAUAUGGCCAGAAUAAUAGAUAUUAAUGAUAGAGAUGGCUUGAUUUAAAUAGUUGAUUUUUCGUAGGUAUUACCUAAAUAUAAUUUAUUUUCUUUUUCCUCAAAAUAACCCUAGUUAGAACUGGAACGAUUAAUUGCCAAAAUGGAAAUGAGAAAAUGAUUUAAUUCAUUCCAUAAUAGACUUGAAUUGCAAUGGAAUUGGGGGGGGAUAUAAAAUUAUGAAAUACAAAGAAAAUGAAAAAGAUGGAAAAAAUACAAAGAAAAUGAAAAAGAUGGAAAAAAUACAUACAUCAUCAAAUCACUAGUUUAGAUGAACCAUUUUGCUUAGUGUAGAGAGCACAGUUGGUAAUGGAUUAUCUCAAAAAUGCUUGAAAUGUGGCAUUGCAAGAGGUGGUUCUGUUCAUUUAUUUAAUUUUUGCAAAGUCAGGUAAUUUUGCGAAAACAGUACUGCAAGAAAGUACUAAAAUUGCAAGAUACAGCAGCUCAGUUAAAAAUAACUAGAAAUAAGAACCUAUACUUAGUAGAACAAAAAAUAAACUUUAAAAAAUUGUUUCUUUGGAAUCAAAGAUCUCUGACAUGGACAAAUGGCAAAACACUUAAGUUGAAAAAUAAAUACUGCAAAGCUUAGCAAUAGAAAAACUAGAUUUUUAGAAACUGCUGAUUAUCAGAAAUGAUUUUUAAAUGAUGAUGGCUGGAAGAUUAUUUAAAUUGUAUACUCAAGUUAGAAUAAUGACUUAUUAUAUAAUAGGAGCCGCUUUCUACCUAUAUUUGUAUCCUAGCAUCUAACAAGUGCAGGCACAUUGUGACAUAUGCCUUUUGGGAUGUUUAUCAGAUCUAACCCUACUUCUUAGACUAGUCCCAUAUCAAUAGGGCAUGAUCACAGCAGAUUGGGCUGGAGAUGGAGGACAGUUACCUCCCCAAGGGAAAUGGAUCUAAUUCUCUUAUUUGGAACUGAAGCACAGAUGAUUAAGUGCUUGAAUAGGAAAGGGAUCUAAAGCCAGUGCAGGGCCAUGUUUGGGCUUGGACCCAGGUGCUGCAGCAGAGAGAGAGAGGAGAAAAAGAGAGAGAGACAGAGAGAGAUUGAGUAGGGGCAAGAGCAAGAGAAGAAAAGCAGAUGCUCAGCGAGAGGAGACAGCCCCCAUGAAAUGUUCUUGUUCUAGGUCCUGGUUAUAGUUCCACAUGAGAGUUGACUGGAGCUCCCAACAUUGGUUUCUUUGCAUUUUCUCUAUAGCUUUUAUAGAGAAUUCUGCUUACGUAUCAGACUAUGAGUUACAUUUAGGGCCAUCAAAUCUCUCUAUUUGGUAAUUUAUGAAAACACAAAUACCUACACUAAUGGCUUUUUAUAUAUUAAUACGUUAUAAUGAGGUAAAGUUUGCUUAGUGACUUCUCUAAGUCAUAUGAUUUCUUAGUGGACUGAAAUAUGAUUCCCAAACACAUAAUCCUAGUGGAUUUUGCUUAGUCGAAAUUUUAAGAUUUUGGCAUGUUCGGCCAAAAUCAGGCUAUAAGUUUCUUACCCUGUAGAAUUCGUUUUUGCCUAAGUAAGCAUGAUUUAACACAAUUUAUAUUUCCAGAAAAAGUAAAUAAGUUAGAACAAAAGCCAUAGUAAGAUACCAUCUUCUGUCUACAAAACUGAAAAGAAAAAUAAUACAUCCCAAAGUUAAUGAGAAUUUAGGGAAAUGGGUCAUCUCAUACUUGGCCAUUUGAAUUAUGAUGCAAAAUAUACCAUUACUCACCUGCUCAUUGAACAUAUAUUUAUUGAAUAUACUCUAGGUAUUAGACAUUGUCCUAUAGACUGGUGUUUAGCAGUAAACAAAACAGACAAAAAUCUUGGCCUACAAGGUACUUGUAAUUUCCAAAAUCUUUAAAAUGUUAAAAAAUGUUCAUAUCCUUUUUACCUAAGAGUUGUACUAUACAUAUAUAUGUAUGUAUAUAUAUUAUAUGUAGAGAGAGAGAUAUAGAUAUAUAUAUAGAUAGUAUACACAAUGGAAUACUAUGCAGGCAUUAAACAUGAUGUUUUUAAAGACUGUAAAAAUUAAGUUUUAAAGGAUUAUCUAUAGUAGGUUCUCGUCCUUACACAAAUGAACAUAAGUACUCAUAUACAUAUACUUUUUAAAGAAAUAUGUACUAAAAC